Molecule: ribosomal RNA, 179 nt
Filed under: uncultured bacterium
Lineage: Bacteria
Description: partial 16S ribosomal RNA
Rfam family: Bacterial small subunit ribosomal RNA
Source: RNAcentral
AUUUAUACGCGAGGCAGCAGUGGGGAAUAUUGGACAAUGGGCCACAAGCCUGAUCCAGCAAUUCUGUGUGCACGAUGAAGGUCUUCGGAUUGUAAAGUGCUUUCAGUUGGGAAGAAGAAAGUGACGGUACCAACAGAAGAAGCGACGGCUAAAUACGUGCCAGCAGCCGCGGUAAUAAU